GUACGAAUAAGGGCUGGGCAAGACCGGUGCCAGCCGCCGCGGUAAUACCGGCAGCCCGAGUGAUGGCCGAUAUUAUUGGGCCUAAAGCGUCCNGUAGCUGGCCGGACAAGUCCGUUGGGAAAUCUGUUCGCUUAACGAGCAGGCGUCCAGCGGAAACUGUUCGGCUUGAGACCGGAAGACCUGAGGGGUACGUCCGGGGUAGGAGUGAAAUCCUGUAAUCCUGGACGGACCACCGGUGGCGAAAGCGCCUCAGGAGGACGGAUCCGACAGUGAGGGACGAAAGCUAGGGUCUCGAACCGGAUUAGAUACCCGGGUAGUCCUAGCUGUAAACGAUGCCCGCUAGGUGUGGCGCAGGCUACGAGCCUGCGCUGUGCCGUAGGGAAGCCGAGAAGCGGGCCGCCUGGGAAGUACGUCUGCAAGGAUGAAACUUAAAGGAAUUGGCGGGGGAGCACUACAACCGGAGGAGCCUGCGGUUUAAUUGGACUCAACGCCGGACAUCUCACCAGCUCCGACAGUAGUAAUGACGGUCAGGUUGAUGACCUUACCCGAUGCUACUGAGAGGAGGUGCAUGGCCGCCGUCAGCUCGUACCGUGAGGCGUCCUGUUAAGUCAGGCAACGAGCGAGACCCGCACUCCUAAUUGCCAGCAGUACCCUUUGGGUAGCUGGGUACAUUAGGUGGACUGCCGCUGCUAAAGCGGAGGAAGGAACGGGCAACGGUAGGUCAGUAUGCCCCGAAUGAGCUGGGCAACACGCGGGCUACAAUGGUCGAGACAAUGGGAUGCAACUCCGAGAGGAGGCGCUAAUCUCCUAAACUCGAUCGUAGUCCGGAUUGAGGGCUGAAACUCGCCCUCAUGAAGCUGGAUUCGGUAGUAAUCGCG
RNAcentral lists this ribosomal RNA (878 nucleotides) under uncultured archaeon. Its description in RNAcentral is "bacterial SSU rRNA". It matches the Rfam family "Archaeal small subunit ribosomal RNA", at positions 429 to 1302 of the family's 1478-position model. The record is from RNAcentral.